GAUGAACGCUGGCGGCGUGCCUCAAACAUGCAAGCCGAGCGGGGCUAUGUAAUAUCGCAAGGUAGAACACAGCCUAGCGGCGAACGGGUGAGUAACACGUGGGUAACCUGCCUGGAAGACAGGGAUAACGAUUCGAAAGGGUCGCUAAUACCUGAUAAUAUCCUUUCAUCGCAUGGUGAUAGGAAGAAAGGGGAAACCCGCUUUCAGAUGGGCCCGCGUCCCAUCAGCUAGUUGGUAAGGUAAAGGCUUACCAAGGCGACGACGGGUAGCCGGUCUGAGAGGAUGUACGGCCACACUGGGACUGAGAUACGGCCCAGACUCCUACGGGAGGCAGCAGUUGGGAAUCUUAGGCAAUGGACGAAAAGUCUGACCUAGCGACGCCGCGUGAGGGAAGAAGGCCUCGGUUGUAACGUACUAGUCAUGGGAGGAAGAAGUAGAGGUACCCGAACGAACGGAAGACCCUCGCUACUACGUAGCCAGCAGCGCGGUAACGACCACCGUACAGU
RNAcentral lists this ribosomal RNA (506 nucleotides) under uncultured bacterium. RNAcentral describes it as "bacterial SSU rRNA". It matches the Rfam family "Bacterial small subunit ribosomal RNA", at positions 28 to 539 of the family's 1533-position model. The record is from RNAcentral.